UAUAUAUAUAUAUUUGAAUAUAUGUAUCUAUAUAUUGUAUCAUACCUUUUUUGAAACCCUAGAUACCGGGGAACACGUUCUUGAUUGCACCCAAAAUGCUGGUUUUGUCACAAACCUAGCUUAAUUAGCUAGGCAGCCUAGACCUAUCUUCAAUAUAAAAUUAGUUAAUAAAUUAAAUAAACCAAAUUAAUUAGGUAAAUCCAAUCUUCCCACAUGUGUGGGUGAGGCAUGCAUCAAUCAAUUAUGUUGGGAAAAUGAAGUAAUGGAUAGAAUUGACAGAAAUUUGACAGCCAAGUGGAUAAAUAAUUAAUGAAAAUAUAUAUAAAUCAAGUAUCAACCUAGUUAGCUACUUUCUGGGGUUUCUCCAAAUGUAAUUUUAGUAUCAAUCAAUUUGGAGGAAAGGACAAAAUUAUUUCUCAAGAUUAGUUCAAUAGCUCUUAAUUUACAGGGUUAAUUUGAUUAAGAAAGAGAAAUAAUAAUUAUAAAAAAAUUAACGAGUUAAUUAUUAGAUAAAUAAUUUAUAGAAAAUAGUUUAAUAUCAAAUAUUUAAUUCGGGCCAACUUAAAACGGAUUACAUCGGGGGCGAGAAAUUAGAUAAUUGAUAGUAAAUCACAGGCCCAACGGGCCCAAUUGGAGCCCAUAAUACGGCCCGGCCCAUAAGAGAUCUGCACCGACCAUCAGGCGAUCUGUCCUGUGAAUGUUUUACAGUAGUUUCCAUUGUGAACUAUAAUCGCUGUUUGGUUUUUUCCUGGAAAGCAACUUUAGCCAUAUAAAUGCUUUCACGAAGUUUCGCUCUGUACCAAAUUUAGGGCGGGAAAUUUCACUGUUUCAAUAUUUUUUCACCAGUUUCGCACAAAUGUGGAGAAGAAACGAGCUCAGAUUUGGAAAUAACGCGCAAAAAAACGAAGAUUCUGAUCAGAGCAUUUCUGAAGAGGAGGAUGAUUUGGAGGGUGAGUGGCCAGCAAAUACAAUCUCCUUGGGUGGAGCUGGAGACAACAAGG
Erythranthe guttata (spotted monkey flower) is the source of this 1001-nucleotide non-coding RNA. The record is from RefSeq and is a predicted model, not a curated record. NCBI's taxonomy places the organism in Eukaryota, Viridiplantae, Streptophyta, Magnoliopsida, Lamiales, Phrymaceae.